GAUGAACGCUGGCGGCGUGCUUAACACAUGCAAGUCGAACGGAAAGGCUCCUGCUUGCAGGGGUACUCGAGUGGCGAACGGGUGAGUAACACGUGGGUGAUCUGCCCUGCACUUCGGGAUAAGCCUGGGAAACUGGGUCUAAUACCGGAUAGGACCACAUUUUGGAUGGUGUGGUGGAAAGUUUUUCGGUGUGGGAUGAGCUCGCGGCCUAUCAGCUUGUUGGUGGGGUAAUGGCCUACCAAGGCGUCGACGGGUAGCCGGCCUGAGAGGGUGUACGGCCACAUUGGGACUGAGAUACGGCCCAGACUCCUACGGGAGGCAGCAGUGGGAAAUAUUGCACAAUGGGCGCAAGCCUGAUGCAGCGACGCCGCGUGGGGGAUGACGGCCUUCGGGUUGUAAACUCCUUUCGCUAGGGACGAAGCGUUUUUGUGACGGUACCUGGAGAAGAAGCACCGGCUAACUACGUG
This 467-nucleotide ribosomal RNA is filed under the name uncultured bacterium. Its description in RNAcentral is "partial 16S ribosomal RNA". It matches the Rfam family "Bacterial small subunit ribosomal RNA", at positions 28 to 507 of the family's 1533-position model. The record is from RNAcentral.